UCAGUUAUCGUUUAUUUGAUAGUACCUUACUACUUGGAUACCUGUGGUAAUUCUAGAGCUAAUACAUGCUAAAAACCUCGACUUCGGAAGGGGUGUAUUUAUUAGAUAAAAAACCAAUGCCCUUCGGGGCUCCUUGGUGAUUCAUAAUAACUUAACGAAUCGCAUGGCCUUGCGCCGGCGAUGGUUCAUUCAAAUUUCUGCCCUAUCAACUUUCGAUGGUAUUAUAGAGGAUUACCAUGGUUUCUACGGGUAACGGGGAAUUAGGGUUCUAUUCCGGAGAGGGAGCCUGAGAAACGGCUACCACAUCCAAGGAAGGCAGCAGGCGCGCAAAUUACCCAAUCCCGACACGGGGAGGUAGUGACAAUAAAUACUGAUGUGGAGCUCAUUAGGGUUUCACAAUUGGAAUGAGUACAAUUUAAAUCCCUUAACGAGGAACAAUUGGAGGGCAAGUCUGGUGCCAGCAGCCGCGGUAAUUCCAGCUCCAAUAGCGUAUAUUAAAGUUGUUGCAGUUAAAAAGCUCGUAGUUGAAACUUGGGUCUGGCUGACCGGUCCGCCUCACCGCGUGCACUGGCUCGGCCGGACCUUUCCUUCUGGGGAACCGCMUGGCCUUCAUUGGUCGUGCUGGGGAUCCAGGACUUUUACUUUGAAAAAAUUAGAGUGUUCAAAGCAGGCCUAUGCUCGAAUACAUUAGCAUGGAAUAAUAGAAUAGGACGUGUGGUUCUAUUUUGUUGGUUUCUAGGACCGCCGUAU
Molecule: ribosomal RNA, 750 nt
Filed under: Ramboldia cinnabarina
Lineage: Eukaryota; Fungi; Ascomycota; Lecanoromycetes; Lecanorales; Ramboldiaceae
Description: SSU rRNA
Rfam family: Eukaryotic small subunit ribosomal RNA
Source: RNAcentral